Molecule: unclassified non-coding RNA, 295 nt
Filed under: Hevea brasiliensis (rubber tree)
Lineage: Eukaryota; Viridiplantae; Streptophyta; Magnoliopsida; Malpighiales; Euphorbiaceae
Source: RNAcentral
CUCUACCAUAUUACAUUUUUGCUUGCCAUUUGCUCUUUGAUGAAAGAAGCCAAUAUUGUUGUCACCAUCCUUCUACUAAGAAACCCCAGAUCUCUACAUCCACAUCAUUUCCUCCAAUUGAAGAGUUGACUCAAGCUCCCUUUUUAAACUUCAAAACUCAUUCGCAACCUCUUCAGAAUGCAAUUGAUGCUGCAAAAAAUUCAUUCGGUCCCUUAUGUGCUUUAAGUGUCUAUUAAUAUUCCUAAAAGUCUCCUUCUUCCAACGUUGAAGACCACGACCACAAUUAGCAAUUUUC